AGGAAUUGGAGGGCAGUCUCCGAAAUAAUUGCUCCUCCUAAAAUAAUAAGGCUCUGGCUAGCUGCUUCCUGCUAUUUCCAGCCCUUAGUUUUCAGAAUGGUCAGGUCUUUGUAUUCUAGCCCUUUUCUGCCUUUAGCAGGAGCCUCGGCUGCAUCAGGCCCUGGGCCGUGUCAUGGAAACUGCCCAGGGUGGGGUUAGGAGGUGGGGCGGGGCUGGGACAGGAAGCCUGCAGCUCAGUCGGCAUCUUGCUACCACGUGCAGUAGUGGGGGCCAUAAAAGAGUGGGAGACGUAGAAGAAGGGCAGGACACGAGCCCCAAAGAGCCAGCCAGACACACGGAGACGAGAGAGGUAGAGAAACCAGCUGAGCCAGACACAGAAAGAUGCACCAAGGACAGCUCCUGCUACUUCGCCGGCUCCUCCCAGCCCCGCCUCCACUACUCUGUCACGUGGUGUGGUCGUCCGCAGGGAAUAUAAAUAAAUGUUCCCCGACCCUCUGUAUCCGAGCAGCUGCCCUCAGCCCCUACCCCAGCUCCGACCGAUCCUGAGUUCCGCUGCACCGCUGCUGUGAGUGUAUCAGAACAGGAGGGAGGGAUUGGGGUGGGGAAUGAGGGGACCCCGAUCCACUCCCGGCCCAGUACUACCUUUCUUUAGAUCCAUUCCUACCCAGCCCAGCAAUCCAAGAUCCGACAUGAACCCCUCUCUCUGCUUCAAUACAAUCAAAGCUGGUCAGAUUUAGGGUCCAGUGAUCUGGCAUGGAGUUGAAGGUGGGGAAAGGGAGGGAGAAAGGGAAAUCCAAGCUGGGUCAGGACAGAAGAUCUAGUGCUGGGGCGGGCCCAGAAGUCUGGCUCUAAGGCUCUAAGUUGGACGAGGACGGCUUUCUAGGCAGAGCUAGGGAUAAAAGUCGGGCCUCAAGUGUAGCGAAGGACUGG
This 930-nucleotide long non-coding RNA is filed under the name Vombatus ursinus (common wombat). RNAcentral's name for it is "lncRNA (ENSVURG00010013951.1)". Lineage: Eukaryota; Metazoa; Chordata; Mammalia; Diprotodontia; Vombatidae. The record is from RNAcentral.